GACGAACGCUGGCGGCGUGCUUAACACAUGUAAGUCGAACGAUGAAGAAAAGAAUUGAAGCUUCGGCAGAAAUUCAUUUCGGAUUAGUGGCAGACGGGUGAGUAACGCGUGAGCAACCUACCUCUUACAAAGGGAUAGCCUCGGGAAACCGGGAUUAAUACCAUAUAACAUUGCGACGAAGCAUUUCGAUGCAAUCAAAGCUACGGCGGUAAGAGAUGGGCUCGCGUCCCAUUAACCAGAUGGUGAGGUAACGGCUCACCAUAGUAACGAUGGGUAACCGGCCUGAGAGGGUGAACGGUCACACUGGAACUGAGACACGGUCCAGACUCCUACGGGAGGCAGCAGUGGGGAAUAUUGCACAAUGGAGGGAACUCUGAUGCAGCGACGCCGCGUGAGUGAUGAAGGAAUUCGUUUCGUAAAACUCUGUUCUAUGGGAAGAAAAGGACUGUACCAUAGGAGAAAGCUCCGGCUAAAUACGUG
This 480-nucleotide ribosomal RNA is filed under the name uncultured bacterium. RNAcentral's name for it is "partial 16S ribosomal RNA". It matches the Rfam family "Bacterial small subunit ribosomal RNA", at positions 28 to 507 of the family's 1533-position model. The record is from RNAcentral.